AAUAAAGUUUUUCACUCCUUCACAACCUACAACCUAUGUUGAACCCUGAGUGGACUUCCCCGUCUUGCCUAGCUGGGCUGCAUUACUAUUUCCUUCUCACUUCCAGAAUUUAUUUCUAGUUUGAAGAAUGAAUUAUAUGUUAAAAAUGUCAUCUGUUCAUUGAGUCUGUCCUCAGCUUGAAGAUGUUCUUGCAAUCACACGAAUGCCAUGAUGUCCUGGUUCUUCUCACAAAGAAAGAACAUGCUGUGCCCAUGAACAAGCCACAGUCAUCCAGAACCAAGAAUAUCAAGAUGUUAUUUUUCUAUCAACUCCUGGAAAAUAUGGCCUUACCUCUUCGUGAAAGUUUUUCUCUUGUCAUAGAGAAAUCCCACUCUUUCCCUUAACCUGUUACUGAUGCUCAGGAAGUCCUCAUCCAGGGAUAGAUGAACAGUGGUAGUCAAACGUGGUGGGUAUAUAGUAGUUUUCCAAAUAUAAAAUGGUGUUAAGUUCAUCCCAAAAGCAAUAAACAUUUUGCAAUUGUACCUAGACCA
Molecule: long non-coding RNA, 530 nt
Filed under: Manacus vitellinus (golden-collared manakin)
Lineage: Eukaryota; Metazoa; Chordata; Aves; Passeriformes; Pipridae
Description: lncRNA (ENSMVIG00005001809.1)
Source: RNAcentral